This 356-nucleotide RNase P RNA is filed under the name Candidatus Omnitrophota bacterium. RNAcentral's name for it is "Candidatus Omnitrophica bacterium RNase P RNA component class A". It matches the Rfam family "Bacterial RNase P class A". Rfam says of the family: Ribonuclease P (RNase P) is a ubiquitous endoribonuclease, found in archaea, bacteria and eukarya as well as chloroplasts and mitochondria. Lineage: Bacteria; Pseudomonadati; Candidatus Omnitrophota. The record is from RNAcentral.
UUGCAGGUGCGAACGGUUACGAGGGGAUGCCCUCGAGGAAAGUCCGAGCUCCACAGGGCACCGUAGCGGGUAACGCCCGCCUCUUGCCAUUUUGGCUUUGCCAAAAUGGCUGGACGGAUUAGAGCCACAGAGACGAGUCCUCUGAUGCCGAACAGGCAGACGAGGGGUGAAACGCGGCAAUCUCUACGGGGAGAAAGACCAAAUAGGGCCCGACUUUAGGUGCUGCCCGUACCUCUGUAUCGGGCCGGGUAGGUCGCUAAGUUGCGGAAUUGACCGCAAGAGGAUCUCGUCAGCGAUGACGGGACUAGAUGGAUUACCGUAUAGAACAGAACUCGGCUUACAGCACCUGCUUUUUA